ACGAUACGAGUUUGAUCCUGGCUCAGAACGAACGCUGGCGGCAUGCCUAACACAUGCAAGUCGAACGAACCCUUCGGGGUUAGUGGCGCACGGGUGCGUAACGCGUGGGGAUCUGCCCAAAGGUUCGGAAUAACUCAGAGAAAUUUGAGCUAAUACCGGAUAAUGUCUUCGGACCAAAGAUUUAUUGCCUUUGGAUGAACCCGCGUAGGAUUAGCUUGUUGGUGGGGUAAAGGCCUACCAAGGCGACGAUCCUUAGCUGGUCUGAGAGGAUGAUCAGCCACACUGGGACUGAGACACGGCCCAGACUCCUACGGGAGGCAGCAGUGGGGAAUAUUGGACAAUGGGCGAAAGCCUGAUCCAGCAAUGCCGCGUGAGUGAUGAAGGCCUUAGGGUUGUAAAGCUCUUUUACCAGGGAUGAUAAUGACAGUACCUGGAGAAUAAGCUCCGGCUAACUCCGUG
This 459-nucleotide ribosomal RNA is filed under the name uncultured bacterium. RNAcentral's name for it is "bacterial SSU rRNA". It matches the Rfam family "Bacterial small subunit ribosomal RNA", at positions 1 to 507 of the family's 1533-position model. The record is from RNAcentral.